RNAcentral lists this ribosomal RNA (497 nucleotides) under uncultured bacterium. Its description in RNAcentral is "partial 16S ribosomal RNA". It matches the Rfam family "Bacterial small subunit ribosomal RNA", at positions 28 to 507 of the family's 1533-position model. The record is from RNAcentral.
GAUGAACGCUGGCGGCGUGCCUAAUACAUGCAAGUCGAGCGAACAGACGAGGAGCUUGCUCCUCUGACGUUAGCGGCGGACGGGUGAGUAAAACGUGGAUAACCUACCUAUAAGACUGGGAUAACUUCGGGAAACCGGAGCUAAUACCGGAUAAUAUAUUGAACCGCAUGGUUCAAUAGUGAAAGACGGUUUUGCUGUCACUUAUAGAUGGAUCCGCGCCGCAUUAGCUAGUUGGUAAGGUAACGGCUUACCAAGGCGACGAUGCGUAGCCGACCUGAGAGGGUGAUCGGCCACACUGGAACUGAGACACGGUCCAGACUCCUACGGGAGGCAGCAGUAGGGAAUCUUCCGCAAUGGGCGAAAGCCUGACGGAGCAACGCCGCGUGAGUGAUGAGGGUCUUCGGAUCGUAAAACUCUGUUAUUAGGGAAGAACAAAUGUGUAAGUAACUAUGCACGUCUUGACGGUACCUAAUCAGAAAGCCACGGCUAACUACGUG